Drosophila biarmipes is the source of this 8835-nucleotide long non-coding RNA. RefSeq lists it as uncharacterized. The transcript is spliced from 3 exons. NCBI's taxonomy places the organism in Eukaryota, Metazoa, Arthropoda, Insecta, Diptera, Drosophilidae. The record is from RefSeq and is a predicted model, not a curated record.
UUUUUAUAAGUAAGCCUACAGUGUACAAAUAAAUAAAAAACCUUAUAACGUUUGAUUUUCUGAGUUAUUUAACCAACUGUUGAUGAUUUCGAAAUAAAAAAGGAAAUAUAUUUAAUAAGGAUCGAAACAGAAUUAAUUUAACCAUUGUUACGAACUGUAGCUCAGGGCAGAGUACCCCUAAUGCCACAGCUCGCAACAUAAAAAAACAUCGACAACUCCGCUCUCUCGCAUCACUGAAACUAUCGGACAUCACUAAGAACGAAACGUAAACAAAGCCACUGCUGGCAGGGACGGAGGGCGAUUGUCGUCGGGCUGAGCACUUUUUGCUGGAGGCCAGCGGCAUUCAAGAUAGCUAACAGGCGCACUCGGCCGCCAAAAACGAAAUGGCGGUAAUUUGCAACACUGCUGUCUGACGACAUGGAUAUGCCGAGAUGAGGCGGAAUUUGUAGUCCGGAACGGACUCACCGGGAAAUACUGGAUGUCUGCGGCGAGGAUGGCAAAGGCGUUCUCGGCUGGUAAUCCGUGCAGCCAAAUUAUGGGUAGUAUGUAAAGUAUUUUAGUAGAACUCCCAAGUAUGUAGGCGAACUCCCAAUAUAAUCUCCAAAGUAUGUAGUCGAACUCCUAAGUAAAUCUGGCAAGUAGGUAGUCGAAAUCCCAAAAAAAAUCUGCCCAGUAUGUAGUCGAAAUCCCAAGUAAAUCUCCCGGGCCCCUUUUGUGUCGGGACCCCGAUUGCCCUAUAAAUGAUUAAUAAUAAAUACCGCAAAUAAUAAAUACAUACUACCACUCACUUUUAUUUUAUUUUUGGCACAAAAUUUAACUUAGGCUUCUAGCUGCAUCUGUCUGGUUCGGCAAUAUGGCUGCGACGAUACCCAUAUCUGCUGAUCAUUUUUAUUUCUGCCCCCGCCAUAUUACAUGGCCUCUCCUAAAAUUGGGUCAUUGGACAGAUGAGUGCCAUUUAAGAUGAUCUCGGAGCGAACCGCUUCAUCCCGCAGCUGCGACUAUCGCCCUAUCGGCCCAACCUAUCGAUAGAGUCACUCCCAUCAUCGACUCCAAUUGCAACACCAACCAAAGAUUUCGAGAGGUGCUACCCGAGGCUUCAGGAGAACGACGAAAUAACUGGUAGCUUUGGAGAUGAAAUGGGACUAAACCCGGCACUGAUACCAUCUUGCAGUUCUAUUGGCGCCUAAUGCGGGGCCCACGCAUGACGGGAGGUAUAGCAGAUGUGAUGGCGAUGCUUGUAUACUUUGUUUUUCUUUUUUUCAGAUCACAGCCAGAUGUCCUUGGCAUGAUACACUCCCAGACUGCGGCCUUGGAGGUCUUCCAGCAAGUAUGCAUUGCCACCAACGGAUUUGACCCCCCUAGCUUUCAGGAACUUGCGGGCAAACUUGACGUUGAAGGACGUUCCUGUUUAUCCUCUCGGCAUUGCUCUGUGGUGAGUAUUCUGGAGUCUUUAGGUGCUGUAUACCGAAGCCGUCCAUCUUCUCCUCAAACGCCUCGGAUACGAAGGCGGGAUCCACAGCUUCCAUUCGGAUCCUUUCAAUUCCUCCUUCCUUGUUAAACUCUACAUCCUGCACGUUCUCGCUGCCUUUGCGAUGUUCAAUCUUGAAAUCCUAGCCCUGUAGCUGUAUAGGCCACCUUUUGAGUCGUCUGAAUAGAUCCUUCAUUGUCAUUAACCACCCAAGGCUGGCGUGAUCAGUGAUCCUUUUCCGCGACCGAGUAAUUAACCUGUCGUUUGUUCAUCUUGGUCGAGAACGCGAAAGGGAUCGUGCUGACAAAAAUGUAAAGUACAUCGUGGAAAAUUUUGAGAAUAAUAAUUUCGUGCUAGUCUAACAGAAUCAUUAAAUGUUAGGCGGUUUACAAGUUCUACAAAAUCAAUAUCCCCUCUUAUAAGAUUUUUAUAAAAAUAGUAGCAAGCAUUGUUCUACGAUUUACAAGUGUAGGUAAAUUAAGCAAUUGUAAUCUACUCUGGUAGGAAAGCUACAUUUUGAUCCCAGUUCAAACUAAGCAGGGCAAAUAAAGGAAAUUGUUUUGUACCGAUCCUAAACGGUCGAAGUGCACUUCAUAUUGUGGACUCCAAACCGAUGAACAAUAUUCCAAAAUAGGACGGACAAGGGAGGUAAAUAAUAAUUUGGUCGUAUAAGGGUCAUCAAAUUCUUUUGACCAAAGCUUUAUAAACCCAAGAACUCUCAUGGCUUUGUUAACAGUGGACAUUAUGUGGCAGUCAAAUUUAAGUUUAACCGAAUAUAUUCGUUCGAGAGGAGUAUUUUUAAGAAAGUAACCGAUAAACGUAGGAGGCAGUUCAAAUUUAAAAGGUUGUACCCACACCAUCCAUGAAAACUGACUAUAAGUUAAAUCCCGACGCUAUAUCAUUAUAUAUUAAACAAAACUUAACAUCAUCAGCAUACAUUACAAUACUAAUAUGUGUUAGGAUAGCGGUAAAAUCGUUAACAAACAAACUUAAUAGCAAAGGGCACAAAUGACUACAACACUCUCUAUAAUAACUUUCUGAGUCCCACCAUUCAAAUAAGUUAAAGGCCAAGCUGAUCUAUUUUGAAUAAAGAGAGAGAGAGAGAGAGAGAGAGAGAGAUUGACAGGCCUUACUAAAAUCAGUAUAUAUAACUUCAGUCUGUAUAUUUUCCUUAAAUACAUUUAUUACAAUAAUUUACAAUUCAAGAAGGUUGGUGUUGGUCGAUCCUCGCCUAACAAAACCAUGCUGACACGGUGAUACAAUCGAAUAGCUAACAUGUUGCAAAUGAGAAGUGAUAAUACGUUCCAAUGCUUUAGAUGUUUUCAACAAAUUUGUCUAUAAUUCUGGGCCUUAGCACCCUUUUUGUGAAGUGGAAUAAUAAAAGAUAGUAGAAAAAACUGAUGAUAAAAUAUGCAAAUUUAAAAGUUUAAGAAUCGUUUAGCACACACCCAGGUAGUCCAUCUGGACCGGGAGAUUAAGUUGUUCUUCCUAAAUCUCUUAAAAGAGAACUUUUGGUAACUACAGCGGUAAAAAUACAAUUUGCCCUAUUUAAGGUUAGGGUACUUCGAAUUUGACCAAACAACCGACCUAUAAGUAGUUUGGAAAAACUCAGCAAAUAAAUCAGCAAUUUCUAUACCUCCAUUGAGUUUAGACGUACCGAUAAAGGCUAUGCGGAUGACUUACGUUUGGCAUUAACAAAGUUGUAGAACUGUUUCGGGUCGUUUGAUAAUUCAAAUUUGCAUCGGUUUAGAUCCACAGAAUAGCACUAACUGUUGAGAACAUUAAAAUCUAUUCGAGCCACCACAUAUUUCGAAAAAUCUGCUGGUCUACCCGAUUUUUUACACUUUUUUUAAGUGUUCGAUUUAAGGUUUUUAAGACUUUGACCUAUCAGGUACGCAUUCAUUAAAAAAAAGUAUUUAACACUGUAUAGAAUAGUACAGUGGCACUAUCAAUGUCUGUACAAUUGUACAAUUCUGACCAAUUAAAAUGAGAAAUCAUAUCGUUAAGUUUAUUAUAGUAACAUUUACGAAAACAUCCCAUUUUAGUUGGAGAAACUAAAGGAGAGAGGGUAUCAGAGCAGGGGAGGCAAAUUUUCAGUUCCAUAGUUGGAUGAUUUCGGUCUUCAGGUACAAAAAGAGCGUCAGUUCUACAUACUGUGAUUUCAGACGGGUCUGAAACAAACACAAGAUCUAAUUGUCUACUUCAGGAAUUUUUUAUACACCUUAAUCGCUGUAGCGAUAAUUCUAAAAGGCCAUCCACAAAAUCAUGGGCGGGUAAAGGCAGAGCGACAAAUGAGUCAGUAGGAGGAGACCAAGAAUUAUCAGGAAGAUUAAAGUCACCUAAAACAAUCAAAAGGUCUCUGUUAGGAAAAAGGGAUAGAACAGAUUUUUUUGCAGACAGAUGAUGCUCAUAAAUUACUAGAUCAGAGUAAGGUGGAAUAUAAGAACAUGUAACAAAAAUAGAUAAAGAUUGCACGAAAACUUUCACACUUAGAAAUUCAAUUUCUUUCGGGAUAUGAAUGAGAAUUCUUUCAGAUAUUAGGCUAGAGGUCACGGCAAUCGGCACACAAAUCAGCACGGCAAUUUUUGGCACAGUGGAAUGCAUGGUAUUGGUUCUCGGUUUAUUUGGAACAAAUUCUUUAAUUACUAAAUCAUAAUUAAACCAAAAGCUUUCAGAAAGUAAAACAAUAAAAACAAAAACAUUGUGGAAAUUCAUAUUGAAUAGACAUUUCAGGUAGCCGGACAUUUGAAAAUUCCAAUUGUUACAGUGGUAAGUGUUCAAUACAAUUUUAAAUCAAGGUCUCCAAAGAUUCGAUGAUGACUGGCUGGAAACACGCCGGGAAGAUGGGAUCGCCGUCCGGAUCGGGGUCUAAAUCUGGACACAGCUUCAGGAGUCUGAAAGGGCACUCUUGGUCAACAAAGGCAACCUGCCAAGAGAGAAUAAGUUGAUGAGCACAUACAAGAAGUCGGGUGGGAGAUCAGAAUACUUAGUGGCAAGGGCUAGUGAUGAGUCAGUAGGAAGAGACCAAAAAAUAUCAGGUAGAUUUAAGUCACCUAAAACAAUCAAAUGAUCUCUGUUAGAAAGAAGGAAUAAAACAAAUUAUAUUGCAGACAGAUGGUGCUCGUAAAUUACUAGAUCAGGUGAAAUAUAAGAACAUGUAACAAAAACAGAUAUAGAUUGCAAGGAAACAUUGACACUUAGAAAAUAAAUUUCAUUCGGGAUAUAGCUAACGGCAAUCAGCACACCGCAAAAAUAAAACUUUUUAGUUUUUGUCACAGUGGGGGCCUGUUAUUUGUUCUCGGUUGAUUUGGAACAAAUUCUUUAAUUACUGAAUCAUCAAAGUAAAACAUUAAAAGCAUCUGGCAAUUAUUUUAAAUAACGAUAUCCUACGAGCGUAUGAGUAUCGAAAUUGUUCAACUGCAAUAUCUUCGGAUGGGAAUUUUUCACGUAUAAAUUCCAAAAGAUCCUCAGAUGUGGUAUCAGGGUUGAAUAUAGAAAAAAAUAAUUGCUUCCUUUGUGGAACAACUGAAAGUUUCUUACGCCCCCUAGCAGCAAUGUGAACCUCACUAGGCUGAGAUCGAGGAACUGUGCCUACUGUACCUAUAGGUACGGUCGGCACCGAAUCGGUUAAUAAUUUUUUGUUAUUAAACUGGGCACAGACGGUAUUGAACCCCCCAUUGAGUUGCCUGAGAUAUUCAAUAGGCUGUCUCAAGUCUGCUUCAUAAAGCGGCUCAUCUCAACCAUCAUUUUCUUGCAGGACCCAUAUGACCAGAAUUAAGAUCAAUAAAAUCUUUAACUGGUAAAUCCUGCACAUUUGACGUGCAUCAUCGAAUCGCUGAGCCAGCAAAAAAUAAAGGGGUCUUUAGUUAAAGACGCAAGAACAGACAAGGGCCAUUAUAAGAUAACAAAAGUUUUUUUAAGAAUAUGAAAUGCAAUAAAACAUGAAAAAUACCUCAAAAAUCAAAAAGGCACAAAACACAAAAAAAAAAUACAAGGAAGAACGCUAAAGUCAAAUGCCUCGACUAUCAGGUACCCGUUACUCAGCUUGAGGGAGUAAAAUAGAAAUGAAGAUAUAUAAGCAGCAAAGAAAUAUUUUAAAGCGCCACCUACCGGCUACUUUGGGAUAUGUUAUAUGGGCGGCAGACAGUUUUAACCGUUUUAGCCGUUUGGGGGCGUUAGGCCCCCGUUGUUUGGCCAAUCGAAAGGUUUUAAUGAGAUAAAUUUAGUUUACCAAAAAAAAUGUCUAGGAUGACAGCUGUGGGCGGUUUUUUGGCGUUAGAGUGGGCGACGCAUAUUUUUUUUGGGGUCAAUCGAUAGGUAUUGAUGAGAAAAAUACAUUUCAGUUAAAAUUUGUUUUCUAUCAGAUUUUCGCGGACUGUGGGCGUUAGAGCGGGCGUGGCACCCCAAACUUGCGUUGCGUACGAAGCCCAGGAAUCUGCUUGCCAAGUUCGACUGUUCUAUCUCGUAUGUUUUUUUUCAUACGGACGGACGGAUAGACGGACAUGGCUAGAUCGACUCGGCUAGUGAUCCUGAUCAAGAAUAUAUAUACUUAAUGGGGUCGGAAACGCUUCCUAUACCCUUUUACUCUACAAGUAACGGGUAUAAUAACAACGCUAGAUCGCAAAAAUUAAUCAAACGUAAGAGAGUACGAGAGAAUAAAUAUUCUAACAACUGAGCGUGGCUUGUGCGACACUUACAACUUUAAACACGCAAGAGAGGGAGUUACAGAAAUAGAACUGAAAAAGUCUAGCACAAAUUCAGCAGGUUUAUAUAAAGGGCAAAUUACAGUUAUAAAAUAGAGCGAGGUAGAUUGAGAGGGAGUAAAAGAGUUCUAGCAAGCUUAGAGAGCGUAAGUUACAAUAACAAAGCCAAGAGAUUAAACAAAUCUAAUAGAAAUAUUAAAAUAACUAUAAACACAUACCCGGUCGGACAGACGGACAUAGCUAGAUCGACUCAUUUAGUGUUCCUGAUCAAGAAUAUAUACCUUUAUGGGGUCGGAAACGCUUCCUUCUGACGAAUCUAGUAUACCCUUUUACUCUACGAGUAACGGGUAUAUUUACCACACGAACAAAAUACGGACUUCUUAUUAAUAUUAGGGUAGUGUACAUUUUCGACACGAUAAGACGAGAAGUUUACAUCACCCUACACUUCGCUACUAAUAUAAUACAUUUUCGUCGUAAAUACUAAUAUCAGAACUUUUCUCGUUAAGAGGUGUUUUGAUAUCAGAAGUUAUGCUUUAAACACAAAUCAUAUAAUCCGCAUACCUUUCCCAACUUCGUAAAAUUAAAAUUUUUUGUUACUAUUUAUAUGAAUUUAAAAAAUUCCAAUACCCUAGAAUAAAGAUACGCUCAGGAAGUGUUAGAUUUUUUGAACUAGUAAAUUUUGAAAUUUUUGUUUAUUAAUAACUUUAAAGAGUAACUAACACAUUAAAGUUUUACCCAAAAUCGUUAGAGAAGUCUUCAAGAAAUCAGAAAUAAAAGUUUUUAAAAAAUUUUGAAUGCAAAGUCGUUUGUUGUUAACGGCGUUAAUUAGACACAUCAUGUUAGAAAGGCGUACAAAGCAUUUUAGAAUUCAGAAUAGCACAUCUUAAAUUUUUAGGACCAUCAAAUAGAUUUUGAUACGCACAAAAGAAGUUCAGUGUUCAGGCAGAGUAAUAUAUUCUGGACCAGUACAUAUAUAUUUGGCCAUUUACGAGUGUGUUGAUUAAUAACUUUGACACGGUUUUUGUGGAAUUGAUGCAUAAUAAACCAUACUCAGCCAGCCAGAAGCUGUAUGUAUAUUCUACAAGACACACUCCGCGGUGAAGCAAGAAACAUUUUGACAGAUACGGCCUUCUCUCAAGGCGGAUACGACAACUCCUGGCAACGACUAAAAGCCAGAUGCCAAAACGGAGAUAUCGUCAACUACGUGCCCUUAACGGGUCUGCGCAACAGCUUUGAGCACUACUUGACACAGUGCGAAAGACUUUAAGCUCAUAUCUACACAAAAUCCUGGGAUCCAAUUCUGUGUUUUAUAAUUAGGAGAAAACUACACCAACAGAGUCUUGCUUCAUUGGAAAACUCAGCAGAUGCCCCAAAAGAAAUUCCAACGUGGCGGAGUACUGUCGUUUAUUGAGCGGCGCGCUUGAAUGCUGGAAACGAUAGAUGCACAACCUACAAAAACGCUCCGCCCUCAGCCAGUCCGCAACGAAGAGAGCGCAAGAUUUGUCACCCAGGACCACAUCACAUUAAGGCGUCUAAUAGAUUGAAAACUGUGGGUCACUGUUUACUUGUCGAGACUGCCAUCAAUGGCAUCAAUCAAUGUUACCCAAAGGCGCAGUAACCAUCGCAGGCUACGACAACCCCAGAGGACAGGUUCUUCUCGCGACCGCCAAGGUAUCAUUAGAAGGACCUACCGGUCAACUUAAAAGUCAUUUAAAAACAAUCAUCGUUACCGAUUGCACACGAUCUAAUAAUUUCUAAGAGACUGCCUUUAGCAGAUGUUGACUUUCGGCAACAUAAGCCCAUUGACCUCAUCUUAGGGGUUGACCUGCAUGCCCGGUUAGUAACUGGUAAACUUUUUAGACUAGGACCUAAUAAACCUCUGGCGAACGGCACUACGCUUGGCUAUGUAAUCACCGGUUUUCCUAGAAAAGAACACUCCUUUGAUACGCUAUUCAGUCAUAUAUUGGAUGAAUUGUGAACGUGCCAGAGGGAGAAGGUUCGUACCCAAAGCUGAUUAAUAUGACCAACACCCAACAAACCAAGCAAUAGCGCUGUUUGAAACAGUACUACCCGCUCAGUACCACACACUGGUUAAGAGAAUUGCUGAUCAACAUAUUAUAUUCAAUGUCAACAGUUAUAACUCAUAUUUGUAAACUUUCGUGUUCUAAGUAGUAAAUAAGCUAAUACCAAGUAAACAAUAAAUCAUUAAUCAACGCACUCAUAACUCCGCGGCUUUACUUCCUAUUUCUGGGAAUAGGCGUCGUAAUAGGCGUCGCUAACCUCCAGUAGCUCAAACCUCAGAUCAGUGCCCGCAUCGCCUUCUCGUCCAUCGUCGUGACGCGUUCGUCCUGGCAUAAAAGCUUCCCCGUGCCAGCGACAAGACGCUCAGUAUAACCCCCUUGUCCCGCGACGUGACCUAGAAGUGCCAUUUUCGCUUGGGCACAAACACUUUCUAUGCCCGCAAUACCGUUUUUACUUGUUAUUUGAAUUUGUACUCCUGAAUUUAAACAAUUGUGUAAGGUGUAGUGUUUGGCACAUUUAGUAAACUUGAAAAAUUGCACUGGCACGUUUGUGACACCAUAUAGCUGCCAUAGAAACAAUCGGAAUAUUGGUGGGAAAAUAAUAUGAAACAAAUUACAGCUUUGGUGCCUUUUAACAUAUAAC